GAUGAACGCUGGCGGCGUGCCUAAUACAUGCAAGUCGAGCGAACGGACGAGAAGCUUGCUCCUCUGACGUUAGCGGCGGACGGGUGAGUAACACGUGGAUAACCUACCUAUAAGACUGGGAUAACUUCGGGAAACCGGAGCUAAUACCGGAUAAUAUUUUGAACCGCAUGGUUCAAUAGUGAAAGACGGUUUUGCUGUCACUUAUAGAUGGAUCCGCGCCGCAUUAGCUAGUUGGUAAGGUAACGGCUUACCAAGGCAACGAUGCUUAGCCGACCUGAGAGGGUGAUCGGCCACACUGGAACUGAGACACGGUCCAGACUCCUACGGGAGGCAGCAGUAGGGAAUCUUCCGCAAUGGGCGAAAGCCUGACGGAGCAACGCCGCGUGAGUGAUGAAGGUCUUCGGAUCGUAAAACUCUGUUAUUAGGGAAGAACAAAUGUGUAAGUAACUAUGCACGUCUUGACGGUACCUAAUCAGAAAGCCACGGCUAACUACGUG
This 497-nucleotide ribosomal RNA is filed under the name uncultured bacterium. Its description in RNAcentral is "partial 16S ribosomal RNA". It matches the Rfam family "Bacterial small subunit ribosomal RNA", at positions 28 to 507 of the family's 1533-position model. The record is from RNAcentral.